AGCAGUAUCCUGAGUAUGGCGGGACACGAGGAAUCCUGUCAGAAACCGCGGGGACCACCCCGCAAGGCUAAAUACUCCCAAGAGACCGAUAGUGGACCAGUACCGUGAGGGAAAGGUGAAAAGUACCCCGAACAGGGGAGUGAAAAAGAACCUGAAACCGUACGCUUACAACCUGUCGGAGCGGCUUAGUGCCGUGACGGCGUGCCUUUUGCAUAAUGAGCCUACGAGUUACUAAUCACUAGCGAGGUUAAGGGCUAUAAGGUCCGGAGCCGAAGCGAAAGCGAGUCUGAAUAGGGCGCAAAGUUAGUGGUUGUAGACGCGAAACCUUGCGAUCUACCCAUGAGCAGGAUGAAAGUUGGGUAAAACCACCUGGAGGUCCGCACCGGUAAACGUUGAAAAGUUUUCGGAUGACUUGUGGGUAGGGGUGAAAGGCUAAUCAAGCUGGGAAAUAGCUCGUACUCCCCGAAAUGCUUUUAGGAGCAGCGUUGCAAUAGUAUACUGGAGGUAGAGCUACUGAUUGGAUGCGGGGGCUUCACCGCCUACCAAAUCCUGACAAACUCCGAAUGCCAGUAUUAUGUUUUGCAGCAGUGAGCCGCUGGGUGCUAAUGUCCGGCGACAAAAGAGGAACAACUCAGACCAUCAUCUAAGGCCCCGAAGAAUACACUAAGUUGAACUAACGAUGUGCGACUGCAGCGACAGCUAGGAUGUUAGCUUGGAAGCAGCUAUUCAUUUAAAGAGUGCGUAACAGCUCACUAGUCGAGCGGUUGUGCGUGGAUAAUAAACGGGCAUCAAGUGUAUCGCCGAAGCUAUGGACUCUACGGAGUGGUAGGGGAGCAUUCCAUCGACGCCGAAGCCGUGUCGUAAGGCAUGGUGGAGUUUAUGGAAAAGCAAAUGUAGGCAUAAGUAACGAUAAGGCGGGAGAGAAACCCGCCCACCGCAAGACCAAGGUUUCCUGAUCAACGCUAAUCGGAUCAGGGUUAGUCGGGUCCUAAGGGUAAGCCGUUAGGUGAUCUCGAUGGACAAUCGGUUAAUAUUCCGAUACCGAUGCAUACUGCGACGGAGGGACGGAGAAGCGUAAGCUGCGCCAACAUACGGAAUUGUUGGUUAAAGAGCGUAGGUAUAGGACGACGUUAAUAGCGACGUUUUGCUGAAACUCGACAGUACCGAGCGGCUACGGCCAAUCGGAUAGUCAGCCCAAGCAAGCUUCCGAGAAAAACUUCUAAGCUUCAGGUAUGCAUCGCCCGUACCGUAAACCGACACAGGUGGUCGAGGAGAGUAUCCUCAGGUGCUUGAGUGAAUCACGGAUAAGGAACUAGGCAAAUUGACCCCGUAACUUAGGGAUAAGGGGUCCCCACGUGAGUGGGGCGCAGCGAAAAGGUCCAGGCAACUGUUUAACAAAAACAUAGGGCUAUGCUAAUUCGAGAGAAGACGUAUAUGGCCUGACACCUGCCCGGUGCUGGAAGGUUAAGAGGGGAUGUUAGCGCAAGCGAAGCAUUGAAUCGAAGCCCCAGUAAACGGCGGCCGUAACUAUAACGGUCCUAAGGUAGCGAAAUUCCUUGUCGGGUAAGUUCCGACCUGCACGAAUGGUGUAAUGAUCUGGACACUGUCUCGUCCGUGAGCUCAGUGAAAUUGUAGUCCCGGUGAAGAUGCCGGGUACCCGCAACGGGACGAAAAGACCCCGUGAACCUUUACUGCAGCUUAACGCUGAAUUUGGGUGCAUGAUGUGUAGGAUAGGCAGGAGACUGCGAAGCGGUACCGCCAGGUAUCGUGGAGUCGCCGUUGAAAUACUGCCCUUUGUGUAUUUGAAUUCUAACCCUGUUUAGGGGACACCGUUUGGUGGGUAGUUUGACUGGGGUGGUCGCCUCCAAAAGCGUAACGGAGGCUUCCCAAGGUACCCUCAGCACGAAUGGUAACCGUGCGCAGAGUGCAAUGGCACAAGGGUGCUUGACUGCGAGACUCACAAGUCGACCAGGUGCGAAAGCAGGGCAUAGUGAUCCGGUGGUUCUGUGUGGACUGGCCAUCGCUCAAAGGAUAAAAGGUACUCCGGGGAUAACAGGCUGAUCGCCGCCAAGAGCUCAUAUCGACGCGGCGGUUUGGCACCUCGAUGUCGGCUCGUCACAUCCUGGGGCUGGAGAAGGUCCCAAGGG
RNAcentral lists this ribosomal RNA (2147 nucleotides) under gut metagenome. RNAcentral's name for it is "bacterial LSU rRNA". It matches the Rfam family "Bacterial large subunit ribosomal RNA", at positions 399 to 2571 of the family's 2925-position model. The record is from RNAcentral.